GGGUUGUGAGGUUAAGCGACUAAGCGUACACGGUGGAUGCCCUGGCAGUCAGAGGCGAUGAAGGACGUGCUAAUCUGCGAUAAGCGUCGGUAAGGUGAUAUGAACCGUUAUAACCGGCGAUUUCCGAAUGGGGAAACCCAGUGUGAUUCGUCACACUAUCAUUAACUGAAUCCAUAGGUUAAUGAGGCGAACCGGGGGAACUGAAACAUCUAAGUACCCCGAGGAAAAGAAAUCAACCGAGAUUCCCCCAGUAGCGGCGAGCGAACGGGGAGCAGCCCAGAGCCUGAAUCAGUGUGUGUGUUAGUGGAAGCGUCUGGAAAGGCGUGCGAUACAGGGUGACAGCCCCGUACACAAAAAUGCACAUACUGUGAGCUCGAUGAGUAGGGCGGGACACGUGGUAUCCUGUCUGAAUAUGGGGGGACCAUCCUCCAAGGCUAAAUACUCCUGACUGACCGAUAGUGAACCAGUACCGUGAGGGAAAGGCGAAAAGAACCCCGGCGAGGGGAGUGAAAAAGAACCUGAAACCGUGUACGUACAAGCAGUGGGAGCCUCUUUUAUGGGGUGACUGCGUACCUUUUGUAUAAUGGGUCAGCGACUUAUAUUCUGUAGCAAGGUUAACCGAAUAGGGGAGCCGAAGGGAAACCGAGUCUUAACUGGGCGUUAAGUUGCAGGGUAUAGACCCGAAACCCGGUGAUCUAGCCAUGGGCAGGUUGAAGGUUGGGUAACACUAACUGGAGGACCGAACCGACUAAUGUUGAAAAAUUAGCGGAUGACUUGUGGCUGGGGGUGAAAGGCCAAUCAAACCGGGAGAUAGCUGGUUCUCCCCGAAAGCUAUUUAGGUAGCGCCUCGUGAAUUCAUCUCCGGGGGUAGAGCACUGUUUCGGCAAGGGGGUCAUCCCGACUUACCAACCCGAUGCAAACUGCGAAUACCGGAGAAUGUUAUCACGGGAGACACACGGCGGGUGCUAACGUCCGUCGUGAAGAGGGAAACAACCCAGACCGCCAGCUAAGGUCCCAAAGUCAUGGUUAAGUGGGAAACGAUGUGGGAAGGCCCAGACAGCCAGGAUGUUGGCUUAGAAGCAGCCAUCAUUUAAAGAAAGCGUAAUAGCUCACUGGUCGAGUCGGCCUGCGCGGAAGAUGUAACGGGGCUAAACCAUGCACCGAAGCUGCGGCAGCGACGCAUAUGCGUUGUUGGGUAGGGGAGCGUUCUGUAAGCCUGUGAAGGUGUACUGUGAGGUAUGCUGGAGGUAUCAGAAGUGCGAAUGCUGACAUAAGUAACGAUAAAGCGGGUGAAAAGCCCGCUCGCCGGAAGACCAAGGGUUCCUGUCCAACGUUAAUCGGGGCAGGGUGAGUCGACCCCUAAGGCGAGGCCGAAAGGCGUAGUCGAUGGGAAACAGGUUAAUAUUCCUGUACUUGGUGUUACUGCGAAGGGGGGACGGAGAAGGCUAUGUUGGCCGGGCGACGGUUGUCCCGGUUUAAGCGUGUAGGCUGGUUUUCCAGGCAAAUCCGGAAAAUCAAGGCUGAGGCGUGAUGACGAGGCACUACGGUGCUGAAGCAACAAAUGCCCUGCUUCCAGGAAAAGCCUCUAAGCAUCAGGUAACAUCAAAUCGUACCCCAAACCGACACAGGUGGUCAGGUAGAGAAUACCAAGGCGCUUGAGAGAACUCGGGUGAAGGAACUAGGCAAAAUGGUGCCGUAACUUCGGGAGAAGGCACGCUGAUAUGUAGGUGAAGUCCCUCGCGGAUGGAGCUGAAAUCAGUCGAAGAUACCAGCUGGCUGCAACUGUUUAUUAAAAACACAGCACUGUGCAAACACGAAAGUGGACGUAUACGGUGUGACGCCUGCCCGGUGCCGGAAGGUUAAUUGAUGGGGUUAGCGGUAACGCGAAGCUCUUGAUCGAAGCCCCGGUAAACGGCGGCCGUAACUAUAACGGUCCUAAGGUAGCGAAAUUCCUUGUCGGGUAAGUUCCGACCUGCACGAAUGGCGUAAUGAUGGCCAGGCUGUCUCCACCCGAGACUCAGUGAAAUUGAACUCGCUGUGAAGAUGCAGUGUACCCGCGGCAAGACGGAAAGACCCCGUGAACCUUUACUAUAGCUUGACACUGAACAUUGAGCCUUGAUGUGUAGGAUAGGUGGGAGGCUUUGAAGUGUGGACGCCAGUCUGCAUGGAGCCGACCUUGAAAUACCACCCUUUAAUGUUUGAUGUUCUAACGUUGACCCGUGAUCCGGGUUGCGGACAGUGUCUGGUGGGUAGUUUGACUGGGGCGGUCUCCUCCUAAAGAGUAACGGAGGAGCACGAAGGUUGGCUAAUCCUGGUCGGACAUCAGGAGGUUAGUGCAAUGGCAUAAGCCAGCUUGACUGCGAGCGUGACGGCGCGAGCAGGUGCGAAAGCAGGUCAUAGUGAUCCGGUGGUUCUGAAUGGAAGGGCCAUCGCUCAACGGAUAAAAGGUACUCCGGGGAUAACAGGCUGAUACCGCCCAAGAGUUCAUAUCGACGGCGGUGUUUGGCACCUCGAUGUCGGCUCAUCACAUCCUGGGGCUGAAGUAGGUCCCAAGGGUAUGGCUGUUCGCCAUUUAAAGUGGUACGCGAGCUGGGUUUAGAACGUCGUGAGACAGUUCGGUCCCUAUCUGCCGUGGGCGCUGGAGAACUGAGGGGGCUGCUCCUAGUACGAGAGGACCGGAGUGGACGCAUCACUGGUGUUCGGGUUGUCAUGCCAAUGGCACUGCCCGGUAGCUAAAUGCGGAAGAGAUAAGUGCUGAAAGCAUCUAAGCACGAAACUUGCCCCGAGAUGAGUUCUCCCUGACUCCUUGAGAGUCCUGAAGGAACGUUGAAGACGACGACGUUGAUAGGCCGGGUGUGUAAGCGCAGCGAUGCGUUGAGCUAACCGGUACUAAUGAACCGUGAGGCUUAACCUUACAACGCCGAAGGUGUUU
This 2932-nucleotide ribosomal RNA is filed under the name Escherichia coli. Its description in RNAcentral is "bacterial LSU rRNA". It matches the Rfam family "Bacterial large subunit ribosomal RNA". The record is from RNAcentral. Lineage: Bacteria; Pseudomonadati; Pseudomonadota; Gammaproteobacteria; Enterobacterales; Enterobacteriaceae.